CUGUCGUCAGCUCGUGUUGUGAAAUGUUGGGUUAAGUCCCGUAACGAGCGCAACCCUUGUCCUUAGUUGCCAUCAUUUAGUUGGGGACUCUAAGGAGACUGCCGGUGACAAACCGGAGGAAGGCGGGGACGACGUCAAGUCAUCAUGGCCCUUACGAGUAGGGCUACACACGUGCUACAAUGGCAAGUACAGAGGGCCGCAAAGCCGCGAGGUGGAGCUAAUCUCACAAAGCUUGUCGUAGUCCGGAUUGGAGUCUGCAACUCGACUCCAUGAAGUCGGAAUCGCUAGUAAUCGUGAAUCAGAAUGUCGCGGUGAAUACGUUCCCGGGCCUUGUACACACCNCCCGUC
This 348-nucleotide ribosomal RNA is filed under the name uncultured marine bacterium. RNAcentral's name for it is "bacterial SSU rRNA". It matches the Rfam family "Bacterial small subunit ribosomal RNA", at positions 1049 to 1398 of the family's 1533-position model. The record is from RNAcentral.